This is an RNA transcript of Juglans microcarpa x Juglans regia, 1722 nucleotides long. It is a transcript of the gene named GDSL esterase/lipase At3g27950-like, with no coding region annotated. The record is from RefSeq and is a predicted model, not a curated record. The transcript has 7 exons. Lineage: Eukaryota; Viridiplantae; Streptophyta; Magnoliopsida; Fagales; Juglandaceae.
AAACAAAUGCCAAAAUCCCGCAUCUUUGAAAAUCAAAGUCGAUAUGUCGGUAACUCUGACGCUGCCUACAUUCACUCUAGAGCCCACUGAAGUAUAAACAAGAUGAGAGUGCAACUCUUUUGGUACUGACAAGGGAUAUUGCCAGGACAACCAUGGAUUCGAUGAGGCUAUAUGGUGUGUUGCGGCUCGUGGUUGUGGGCUUCUUGGUGCUUCCAGCGGUGGCGUUGGGCGGCAGCGGUCCACGGAGAUGCGAGUUUCCAGCAAUAUUCAACUUUGGAGACUCAAACUCGGACACCGGAGGAAGAUCUGCCGCAUUGUCAGAGGUUCAUCAACCCAAUGGAGAAACCUUCUUUGGACAUCCUUCGGGAAGGGUUUGUGAUGGCCGUCUCAUCUUAGAUUUGAUAGCCGAGGAGCUGAAAUCACCAUACCUGAGUGCAUACUUGGACUCGAUCGGGACGGAUUUCAGGCAUGGUGCAAAUUUUGCAACAGGAGGUUCAUCCAUUCGUCCAGGCGGGUAUAGUCCAUUCCAUCUCUGGAUUCAGAUGUCCCAGUUCAUGCGUUUUAAAUCUCAAACAGAAGCUCUGUAUAACAAUCAACUUGACCCUAGCAGAAAGAUCCCAUCAGUCAAAAGCAGCCUCCCAAGGCCUAAGGACUUCUCAAAGGCUCUUUACAUAUUUGAUAUUGGACAGAACGAUCUGGCCUAUGGUUUUCAAUACACAACAGUAGAACAAGUUCGACUUUCCAUCCCUGAUAUGUUAAGCCAGUUGUCCCAAGCAGUGCAUCAAUUGUACAAGGAAGGUGCAAGAAUAUUUUGGGUACAUAAUACAGGCCCAAUCGGUUGCUUGCCAAAAAGUGUAAUAAAUGACCGAUCUAAGCCUGGUAAUCUGGAUCAAAAUGGGUGCGUGAAGCCUCAGAAUGAGAUAGCUCAGGAGUUCAACAGGCAGCUCAAGGACAUGGUGUUUAAACUGAGGGCACAGCUCUUUGAUGCAGCAUUGACACAUGUCGACAUGUAUUCCGCUAAAUAUGCACUAAUCAGCAAUGCAAAGAAUGAAGGUUUUGUCGAUCCAUUUGAGUUCUGUUGUGGGAGUUACUAUGGAUACUCUAUUGAUUGUGGGAAGAAAGAAAUAGUUAAUGGAACGGUUUAUGGUAAUCUAUGUCAGAAUCCAUCAAGGCACGUUAGCUGGGAUGGCAUACACUACUCUGAGUCAGCCAACCUAUGGAUUGCAAACCGAAUUCUCAAUGGCUCCUUCUCUGACCCACCAGUUUCAAUUCGGGAGGCAUGUUAUCAUCCCAAGAAUUUAUCUUCUUUCACCUCGAGACAACUGCAGUCCAUCUACAACCACCAAACCAAGUGUAUAAAGGUUUGAAAGCAGUGCAUGAAACUUGCCUUGGUAUUAGUAGUACAGCGUGGCGGAAUCUUGAAUAGCAGUUGUUGUAUCACAGCUCGUGGCUGUUGGAAAUUGAAAUCGGGUUGGUGUCGAGGAGUGUAACUAGUGAUCUGGUUUUCCUGUUCCGGACCCUGCCGGCUUCUCUCAACAACUCUGCUAACCUCCGCCUCUCGUCAUCCACAUCAGGAUUUGCUGUUCCUAGCUUCUCUUCUCUCAUUCCAACGAGAUAUUCCAAAAUUCCAAUGGCAUCAUCCAGCCUGCCAAAUUUUAAAGUUGGAAAGCACAAAAAUAUUAUUACAAAGUUUAAAUAAAGAGAAUCUGUACUUAGAUUGUA